AUUGAACGCUGGCGGAAUGCUUUACACAUGCAAGUCGAACGGCGGCACGGACUUCGGUCUGGUGGCGAGUGGCGAACGGGUGAGUAAUGUAUCGGAACGUGCCCAGUCGUGGGGGAUAACGUAGUGAAAAUUACGCUAAUACCGCAUACGAUCUAUGGAUGAAAGCGGGGGAUCGCAAGACCUCGCGCGAUUGGAGCGGCCGAUAUCAGAUUAGGUAGUUGGUGGGGUAAAGGCCCACCAAGCCAACGAUCUGUGGCUGGUCUGAGAGGACGACCAGCACCACUGGAACUGAGACACGGUCCAGACUCCUACGGGAGGCAGCAGUGGGGAAUUUUGGACAAUGGGCGAAGGCCUGAUCCAGCCAUUCCGCGUGCAGGAUGAAGGCCCUCGGGUUGUAAACUGCUUUUGUACAGAACGAAAAGGUUUCUACUAAUACUAGGAGCUCAUGACGGUACUGUAAGAAUAAGCACCGGCUAACUACGUGCCAGCCGCCGCCGUAA
RNAcentral lists this ribosomal RNA (500 nucleotides) under uncultured bacterium. RNAcentral describes it as "partial 16S ribosomal RNA". It matches the Rfam family "Bacterial small subunit ribosomal RNA", at positions 30 to 523 of the family's 1533-position model. The record is from RNAcentral.